RNAcentral lists this ribosomal RNA (366 nucleotides) under uncultured bacterium. RNAcentral describes it as "bacterial SSU rRNA". It matches the Rfam family "Bacterial small subunit ribosomal RNA", at positions 28 to 396 of the family's 1533-position model. The record is from RNAcentral.
GACGAACGCUGGCGGCGUGCUUAACACAUGCAAGUCGAGCGGUAAGGCCCUUUCGGGGGUACACGAGCGGCGAACGGGUGAGUAACACGUGGGUGACCUGCCCUCAGCUCUGGGAUAAGCCUGGGAAACCGGGUCUAAUACUGGAUAUGACUCCAUGACGCAUGUUGUGGGGUGAAAGCCUUGUGCGGCUGAGGAUGGGCCCGCGGCCUAUCAGCUUGUUGGUGGGGUGANGGCCUACCAAGGCGACGACGGGUAGCCGGCCUGAGAGGGCGACCGGCCACACUGGGACUGAGACACGGCCCAGACUCCUACGGGAGGCAGCAGUGGGGAAUCUUGCGCAAUGGGCGAAAGCCUGACGCAGCGACG